GAAAUGCGAUAAGUAGUGUGAAUUGCGGAAUUCAGUGAAUCAUCGAAUCUUUGAACGCACAUUGCGCCCCUUGGUAUUCCAUGGGGCAUGCCUGUUCGAGCGUCAUUUGUACCUUCAAGCUUUGCUUGGUGUUGGGUGUUUGUCUCGCCUCUGCGUGUAGACUCGCCUCAAAACAAUUGGCAGCCGGCGUAUUGAUUUCGGAGCGCAGUACAUCUCGCGCUUUGCACUCAUAACGACGACGUCCAAAAGUACAUUUUUACACUCUUGACCUCGGAUCAGGUAGGGAUACCCGCUGAACUUAAGC
RNAcentral lists this unclassified non-coding RNA (304 nucleotides) under plant metagenome. Its description in RNAcentral is "partial contains 5.8S ribosomal RNA, internal transcribed spacer 2, and large subunit ribosomal RNA". The stretch from base 1 to 105 matches the Rfam family "5.8S ribosomal RNA", at positions 50 to 154 of the family's 154-position model. The record is from RNAcentral.